Molecule: non-coding RNA, 9960 nt
Organism: Paramuricea clavata
Lineage: Eukaryota; Metazoa; Cnidaria; Anthozoa; Malacalcyonacea; Plexauridae
Source: the annotation of a GenBank genome assembly
AGCCAUGCAAGAGAGGAUGUCUUGGCAGCCUGUCAAACAACUUUGAAAAAUUUGCAAAUUAAAUAUUUGGAUUUAUAUUUGGUAAUUCAUUUGACUAUUUGUCAGUUCUAAACUGUUCUUCCUAGAGGUCCAGUAAGGAUCAUCUCUUAUUGAUUCAGUGUUACUACAGGAGGAAACCUACACUAAACUAACUUUAUUUGUGAUGGAUAGCUCUAUCAGUUCUAAACUGUUCUUCCUAGAGGUCCAGUAAGGAUCAUCUCUUAAUGAUCCAGUGUUACUACAGGAGGAAACCUAAACUAAACUAACUUUAUUUGUGCUGGAUAGCUCUAUCAGUUCUAAACUGUUCUUCCUAGAGAUCCAGUAAGGAUCAUCUCUUAAUGAUCCAGUGUUACUACAGGAGGAAACCUAAACUAACUUUAUUUAUACUGGAUAGCUCUAUCAGUUCUAAACUGUUCUUCCUAGAGGUCCAGUAACGAUCAUCUCUUUAAUAUUAAGGGCCAAAAUCCUGAAAAACAUUGUAUAUCUAUCACCAUACAAGAUGCAAUCAAAGAAUGUUUCUAAACAAUUAUGUAUAUCUUUCUUAGAUACAUAAUCCAUAUGCAUUUGCAAAGGGUAUGUUUUUCCCAGCGAAACCAGAACAGCGUAAAGAUAUUCUUGGCUAUGAUAAGAAGAGAAUGAGCGAAACGUGGAAGGUAGCGUUAAAAUUGAAUAUUGUGGCAUUCUGCAGUUGAAAAGUAGUUAAAGUUAACUAUGCUAAAAGUUGCUAAUUGUAAGGAAUGAGCAACAUUUUUCAGUUUAAAAACAACAAUGAAAAACAAUGCUUACCUUGGAUUUUCCAACGCUAUAUCUUCCCUAUAAACUCUUCAAAUGCUAUAAACGCUUUCGUUUUUUGGCAAAAAGAGAAUAUUUUUUUGCAUGGGCAGGUUUCUCGAAGACAAAGUGGGGCUCAUUACACUAAGAAACACUGAUACAUAAUUGCCAAACAGCUACACUUUGGUUUGGCGUAGACAUCUCACGGAAAACUGCCUUGGCUUCUCUGACUUUCGCGGCGGUUUUGCGGACUUUCGCCGUGUUUUCUUGUUUAUUUUUCAGCUGGGCCGGUUGUACGAAAGAUGGAUAAAUUGCUAUCCGGUGGACGAGUCGCUAUCCAACGGAUAAAUUUUAUUCGGAGUGAAAAUCGCGUUGUACGGGAUAGCGCUAUCCAACGGAUAAAAAUGCACUACCGUUGGAUACAUUUAUCCGAGGUUUGGUAGUUUAAAUCCGCUAUAGGGCGGAUAAACUCGAAGUUUGAAGACAAAACAAUGUGUAUUUAAGAUAAAAGGGAUUACCAUUGUGAUAAAAAAGGACAAAUACCGUUUAGAAGUCCCUUUCUUGACACUAUUAAAAAUAUUAAACAUGGAAACUUACUUUAUAUGACUAGUCUCUUGCUCUUGACGUUCACCGAGCUCAUUUUGACUCACUUGCCCAUUAAAUAAUGCCAUGGCUUUGCCAUAUUUUACGCAGACCAGUGUCAGUGUUUAGACGUUAAGUUUUCUGGCUUUUUUCUUUGUUAUAUAGCCCAAAAACAAGCAAUAAAACUUUCAUCAAAUGAGUUCCCUUCCACGCCAAACAAAUAUAGCUACAUAUGAACAGACAACAAGGCGCCGAAAGUCGAAAAAUAUUGUUCGCUCGCCUUGAUUGGCCUUGAUUAGCCAAUCAAAUCUUGCGAGAAAAUGUUCUAAAAUUCUUAAAAUUUUUCAAAACGUUUAGGAACGAACUUUCUAUGACUUUCUAUAGUAUAUUUUGUGUUCAAUUUAUAGACCACAGUAUAAAGACUUUUUUUAAAUGUGUUUAUUACAUGUUUAAUAUCAUGUUAUUAUAGAUGGACUAAAUCUCCGAAACGUCGUUGGUUAAUGUAAUAAACACAUUUUAAAAAAGUCUUACUGUAGCCUAUAUAUAGAACACAAAAUGUUCUUAAAAUUGUUUUGAAUGAAGUGAAAGGUCGAAGAACAAACAUUCGGACAGCUAUAGUGAUAUAAAAUAAAACUGAAUCAACGUACUGAAACAAGAAACCAAAACUCGGAGUCUUUGCAAACUAUUGCCUUCGCAAAAAGAAGCCAAAAAUGUUUUAAACGAAUAUUGAUAUUAGGUACUGAUAGCAAAUUCUUCAACGAUUGGACGGAAAAAAACUCUCAAGGUUUAAAUAGAUAGUUCUAUAAGUCUUCAAAGGUUGGUGGAAUUCACAAGUCGAAGAUCAGGGGCGGAUCUAGGGGUGAUCAGAGCGAUCACGCGACUAAGGUAAAAAUUGGCCAGAAAAAUGGAAAAUUGUUAAAUUAAAAUAGCAGUCCAGUUAUCAAACUUCGCGCAGUGUAAUGUAUUGAAAGUUUAACAGUCCAGUAGCGAUCAGGGGCUCGAAUACAGGCUAUCCGAUUGGCUAAUUCAAAACAAUCCUGAAUUCCCAUUGGCUUGAUUUUUUUGAUCGAUCAUACCGUUCAGGCUUCAUUAGUGCACGGAAAGGUCUACGACGUUUCGGGCCCCUUCUGAUCGCUACUUUGUGCUUGACCGCAAAUUAUUAAAGUUCAAUGGGAAGAUUUACUAUCAGAAAUUCUGAACUAAUACCAGCCAUGUCUGUUAGUAUUUACGAAACUGUAAAGGCUGCUUUAGAGCAUGACGAUUGACAAAAUGUCAAAGAUAUUGAAGCUGAUUUAAACAAGCGAGUAAUGGUCUACCGAAGCUUUUUAUUAAAGAUUUAUUGAGCGUUGUAUUGUGAAUAUUAACAUAAGCAGCCUUCCUCGCACGAAAUUUUGGUGCGGAAUCUUACAUCCUGAAGUACGUUCGAGAGAAGACAAAAAUCUUUUGUACGGCCUUAACUUAAGAGAUAUAUAUUCUAUUUUAACUAGAUAUAGCAUUAUAACUGUAAACUGUUGUAUACGACGGUGGAUUGUGCGUCUGUACGCACAUGCAUGCUAUAAUAUCGGCGGGUACGCGUAUAAGACGUAUAAUAAUACGAGACGAAAUUUACAUAAUAUUUCCGUCAAUUUAUAUAAAUAUUGCGGCUUAAUACAGGCAGUUUCAGUGUGUUUAUACUUUGUUUAUGCUUCUUGUGGCAUGUAGACUUUAUAUAUUAAUCAGAUCGCUACUUGAUAACACUCUUUAAUCUUUAUACCUAUUUAAUAUUUUAAACUACAAUGGCACGACAAUGUAGCAUGGCCUUGUGUAAUACGAUCUCUACAACAUGUACACAACAAGUAAAAUGGAUCAUGUUGCCAUUGUGAAUACUUAUUUAUGGCGCAUGUUUCUGCUACGGAAUGAAACUCGAGGAGCAGUGAAUUAAACGUGGAAAUUCUCUUCCUGCUUAACAAACAAUCAAAUGUUUUAAACUGCAUCACUAUAUUGCAUUUUUUUGACCAUCCUGUUCCAUGUCAAAGGAAAAAAUAUGCGAUUAAAUAACAAUUUUUAAAACGUCAAGUCAUCCUUGUCAAUCUAUUUCUCGAUGAGAAUUGGAUAUCUGUUUGACAUUCGGCGAAAAAGCAAUUUUUUAAGUUACAUUUUUUCGUAAACAGAACACAUAUAAAAAAUAUUAACUUGCUUGGCAACCCCCCCCUCCCCUCUGACCCCCCGAAAAGUACCCCCUCCCCCAAUGUUCAGCAACGAAAUUUUUGACUAACGUACGAAAAAUCCUAGAUCCGCCCCUGUCGAAGAUAUUACAACAAAAGUUUAUAUUAAAUGCUUAGCAAUUAACAGCUGGCGUACAUACGUAAAAUUCUUAACCCUGGUUCACAUAAAAUCGUUAAGCAGUCGCAGACAGUCGCAGACAUGUGCCGAAUUUUUAUAUGAACACAAAUGCAGAUUCGCACAGACUGUCUGAGACCGGAUCGGCGACGGAUCGGCACAUGUCUGCGACAGUCUGCGACUGUCUGCGACUGCUUAACGAUUUUAUGUGAACCAGGCUUUACAUCUUGUAACAAGUCUGCCAGCAAGCCUUCAACAAGAUGUAUUCGCACUGAUUGUCACAAGUUGUCAACAGGUUUAGAACAACUUGUCGACAACCUGUAACAACCUUAUCGAAAUUAUCAGACUUGUUGCAAGGUUGUUCUGACAAGUCCUUUACAUGCUUAGUAUAACAAGAUUGUUAGAACCUUGUGUUGAUAACCUUGUAACAUCCUUGUUAUGUCAUGGCUGUAACAAACUUAUUAGCACAGUCUUGUAACAAGUCUGAUAAUGCCAUCAAGCUUGUUACAAGUUGUUAAGAACUUGUUUCAAACUUGUCACAACAAACUGGGAACAAGCAGUGCGAACACAACUUGUUGACAGACUUGUAACAACUUGUUUGCAGACUUGUAACAACUUGUGCGUUUUUACGCGUGUAGAGAUAAAAAAUUUCAGGAAUAUCCGGUUUUCUCCGGAUAAAUUUAAGGUUAACCGAUGGAUAGCUAUCCACCCUGCUGUUCGUGCUUCGUACAACGCAUUCUUAUCCAACGAAUAACUAGUUAUCCAUUGGAUAGAAGAUAUAUCCGCUGGAUAGGACCUAUCCACCGGAGAACUUAUCCGCCUUUCGUACAACCGGAGGACCGGCCAGGGUCUUAGCUAGAGGGCCGUUUUGGCCGUGUUAUCGCGGCCAAAAAUGGAAAAAACACGGCUAGAUAAAAUGAACGCGGUUUCAUUAUUUAUAUAAGGCCGUGUAGGUUCAUAAAAUAAGGUGGUGCUACACAAUACUUACAACAGACAGAAUUUCUUCCAAUUUAUGUCGUAAGAAAGUUUGUAAAAUCUACUGUUGUUGUUGAAAUUGGUAAAAGCGAUCCGUGAUGUAUUAAUGUUUUGAUAGAUAAUGGGAACUGUAUGGUGUUAAAAUGGUUUUAAAUACCCCCAAGGGUUGCUGAAACAACCUAAUAUUUUAAUGUCAGUGCGCAAUGAGCGUAUGCUCGCUUUGUAUUUGGUUGCAAAGCGUAGAACAUAACCACAGGCAUUGUCUGUUGUUGGCGAGCAUAAAGCUACGUUUACACGCUGCGAUUUGUCGGGCCGAUUUUGGUAAAUAAUCGAUGCCCUUUCUUCGACAUUUAGCGAUUUAAACGUUCAACUGAAGCUGUCUGCUCUCUCGUCUGUUCAUAUUAUAGUUUUCUGCGUGCGAAAAGUUUUCAACAACUUUACAACGGAAGAAAAAUCGUUGAAUCGUGAGAAAAAUCUGUGGUUUUGUUACAGAUUAUUCUCCCGAUUUUGUGAAUCGCAAGGUGCUGACGCGAGUACUGAUGACAGGUUAUUUACAUACAGCGAGCAAAAUCGGCCCGACAAAUCGCAGCGUGUAAACGUACCUUAACUAGAACCGUGAAUUUGAAAAACAAACUACUCCUGGUUAGGUCUGAAAUUGUACGUAAUCUUUCACUCGGAAUUCCAGUCAACAAAACCCCUUCAACUUGUUUUUUCAGGGAAUGGAAGAAUUGGUUCGUAAAGGGCUUUGUAAGGCAAUCGGAGUUUCCAAUUUUUCCUCAACCAAAGUGAAAGCACUUUUGGAAACAGCCGAGAUUGUUCCUGCCACUAAUCAAGGUGCUGACUUGAUCCUAUUUUAAUAUUAUCGCGGUGUUGGUUUUGUAGUAUAAUACUGGAUCAAUAAAAGAUGACCCUUACUGGACCUCUAUAGGAAGAACAGUUUAGAACUGAUAGAGCUAUCCAGUAUGAAUAAAGUUAGUUUAGUUCAGGUUUCCUCCUGUAGUAACACUGGAUCAAUAAAAGAUGACCCUUACUGGACCUCUAUAGGAAGAACAGUUUAGAACUGAUAGAGCUAUCCAGUAUGAAUAAAGUUAGUUUAGUUCAGGUUUCCUCCUGUAGUAACACUGGAUCAAUAAAAGAUGACCCUUACUGGACCUCUAUAGGAAGAACAGUUUAGAACUGAUAGAGCUAUCCAGUAUGAAUAAAGUUAGUUUAGUUCAGGUUUCCUCCUGUAGUAACACUGGAUCAAUAAAAGAUGACCCUUACUGGACCUCUAUAGGAAGAACAGUUUAGAACUGAUAGAGCUAUCCAGUAUGAAUAAAGUUAGUUUAGUUCAGGUUUCCUCCUGUAGUAACACUGGAUCAAUAAAAGAUGACCCUUACUGGACCUCUAUAGGAAGAACAGUUUAGAACUGAUAGAGCUAUCCAGUAUGAAUAAAGUUAGUUUAGUUCAGGUUUCCUCCUGUAGUAACACUGGAUCAAUAAAAGAUGACCCUUACUGGACCUCUAUAGGAAGAACAGUUUAGAACUGAUAGAGCUAUCCAGUAUGAAUAAAGUUAGUUUAGUUCAGGUUUCCUCCUGUAGUAACACUGGAUCAAUAAAAGAUGACCCUUACUGGACCUCUAUAGGAAGAACAGUUUAGAACUGAUAGAGUUAUCCAGCAUAAAUAAAGUUAGUUUAGUUCAGGUUUCCUCGUGUAGUAACACUGGAUCAAUAUAAGAGAUGAUUCUUACUGGACCUCUAGGAAGAAUAGUUUAGAACUGAUAGAGCUAUCCAGUAUAAAUAAAGUCAGUUUAGUUUAGUUUAGGUUUCCUCCUGUAGUAAACUGGAUCAAUAAGAGAUUAUCCUUACUGCAUGGACCUCUAGGAAGAACAAUUUAGAACUGAUAGAGCUAAUUUAGUUUAGGUUUCCUCCUGUCGCAACAGGACAGCAGAAAACAGAUUAGUAUGGACGAAACCUUAUACUUUUGAUUGCUCAUAUAAAUUAGCGCAAUUUUAACUUCUUUGUUUGUGUUUUUCGUCAGUUGAACUACACCCAUUCUUGCCCCAGCCUGGAUUAAAGAAAUUCUGCGACGAAAAUGGUUUGUUAAUUAACGAUGUUUACAUAAUCUUGAGUGUUUGAUAAGCUUUGCCUCAGGUUAUAUUGCAGUUGAUCAAUAUCAUGGAAGGAUUAUAUAGAAUAUGUAUUUCAAAAACUCAUUAAUAAUUCACGAAGAAAACACAAAGAAAAGUCAUAAGCGCGUGUCGUAUCUUUAUAUGUGAUAACGACUCGAUUUACACAACGUAUUUUUUUGAAAAUUACUUCGCCAAUGACUUACUAGAUCGAUCGUUUUUGAAACAAUUUAAGACAUUCGCAGUGCGUGCUUUUUAUCAGACCUAAAGAUACUCGGCUUUUUCUCGUAUCUUUAUAUCUGAUAAGACACUGCUGCUCAUGUUUUAAAUAGUACAUCAAAGUAUUGAACUGUUCAUUCAUCAUUCGGAAUAUGCAAAAAGUUGUUCAAAGAGCAAUUAGUUUCCGCUCGGUUGUAUCGCUUUAAACAUAGACAAUCCAUGUCUUCUGGAUUGUCUAUGCUUUAAAUUACAAAAUACUGUACAGUGUGUAUAAAAAACCUGAAUCCUUUCAAAUUAGCUGUAACGUAUUGUAGAAAGUUGACAGCUCUAAUUGCUUUGAAUUAAUGGUUGGGUAAGAACACAAGGCCUUGUACUCAUGGGACAAAACUCAAAGAAAUAAAAAUUAGAAAAUAUAACAGAGAUACAGUAUUUAUUUUGUCCCAUGAGUACAAGGCUUUGUAUUCUUACCCCACCAUUAAUUCAAAGCAAUUAGAGCUGUCACAUUACUGCAAUACGUUAUAGCUAAUUUGAAUUUGGAGUGAUGACGCUAAAGUUUAUUCAUAUAGGCAUUAUCAUCACAGCGUUUUCUUCCCUGGGUUCCUCUGACCGGCCCGGAUAUGGCGAAGCUGACCCUCUUCUCAUGGAUGAACCGCUGAUCAAAGAAAUUGCUGCAAAACGUAAUUGUAGCCCGGCGCAGGUUUGUUUACUGAAUCUCAAACGUAGAGGUUGGGUCCGAUGUAGGUGGUACUCUGGAAUGAUAUAAACUGCCGUGGUUUGUGUCUGAACCACCUUGAAGUUCAUGUUAUUCCUUACUGAUCCAGUGUUACUACAGAAGGAAAUUUUAUUUUUACUGAAUAGUUCUAUCAGUUCUAAACUGUUCUUCCUAGAGAUCCAAUAAGGAUCAUCUCUUAUUGAUCCAGUGUUACUACAGGAGAAAACUUAAACUAAUUUUAAUUUUUACUGGAUAGUUCUAUCAGUUCUAAACUGUUUUCCCUAGAGGUCCAGUAAGGAUCAUCUCUUAUUGAUCCAGUGUUACUACAAAAGGAAACCUAAACUAAACUAACUUUAUUUAUGCUGGAUAGCUCUAUCAGUUCUAAACUGUUCUUCCUAGAGGUCCAGUAAGGAUCAUCUCUUAUUGAUCCAGUGUUACUACAGGAGGGAUAAUCAGUUCUAAACUGUUAGAGGUCCAGUAAGGAUCAUCUCUUAUUGAUCCAGUUCUGGAUAGCUCUAUCAGUUCUAAACUGUUCUUCCUAGAGGUCCAGUAAGGAUCAUCUCUUAUUGAUCCAGUGUUACUACAAGAGGAAACCUAAACUAAACUAACUUUAUUUAUGCUGGAUAGCUCUAUCAGUUCUAAACUGUUCUUCCUAGAGGUCCAGUAAGGAUCAUCUCUUAUUGAUCCAGUGUUACUACAGGAAGAAACCUAAACUUUAUCGUUAUGUUGAAUAGCUCUAUCAGUUCUAAACUGUUCUUCCUAGAUCGAGGUCUAUAGUAAGGAUCGUCUCAUAUUGAUCCAGUGUUACUACAGGAGGAAACCUAAACUAAACUAUUUUUAUUUAUACUGGAUAGCUCUAUCAGUUCUAAACUGUUCUUCCUAGAGGUCUAUAGUAAGGAUCGUCUCAUAUUGAUCCAGUGUUACUACAGGAGGAAACCUAAACUAAACUAUUUUUAUUUAUACUGGAUAGCUCUAUCAGUUCUAAACUGUUCUUCCUAGAGGUUCAGUAACGAUCAUCUCUUAUUGAUCCAGUGUUACUACAGGAGGAAACCUAAACUAAACUAACUUUAUUGAUAUUGGAUAGCUCUAUCAGUUCUAAACUGUCCUCCCUAGAGGUCCAGUAAGGAUCAUCUCUUAUUGAUCCAGUGUUACUACAGGAAGAAACCUAAACUUUAUUUAUGUUGAAUAGCUCUAUCAGUUCUAAACUGUUCUCUUUUUCAUAGCGCGCACUUAUCAAUUGUUUAGGUGUUGCUAGCGUGGGGAGUGAAUUACGGUUGUCCUGUUCUACCCAAGUCGGUCAACGAAGGGCGUAUUAAACAAAACCUAGAAACAUACAACGUGAAAUUGGAACAAGAAGACAUGACUGCCUUGGCGAAUAUUGGCAAAAAAUUUAGAUAUUUAAUGAUGAGUGUAUUUUACCUGGAAGGAGACACCCCAGAAAGCUACUGGGAUGGGGAGCAAUGAGGACAAGUUAGGAAACUCGGAACUAGAAUGAAAACGAUAUGAUUUGAGAUGAUUGACAAAUUAUAGAUAGAUAUAAACUUAAUUUAACUGAGAACAGGGCGACACUUAAUUGUGCGAAGUACUAAAGGGCCAUUGAUGCUACAUAACUUUUACCUAAAACUGUCGCAUGCAACUUUCUUACAACUUGAGUUGUACUGUGUAAAUCAAGCACGCAACUUGCCCCCGUUGUCGUACGCGAGUUGUAAGCUUGAUUUACACAGUACAACUCAAGUUGUAAGCAGAUUGCAAGGGGCAGUUUUAGGCACAAGUGGGUGAUGUGAAUCAGCCAUAUUAACAAACGUGUGGCCUUCAAAAGCUUACAUAAAAGUAAUAUAUCUUCAUGAACGUUGUUACAAGAUGAUAACAACUGGUUCCAGAAGUGUCAUGUAGAACUGGGAACAAGCAGUGCGAACACAUCUUGUUGACAAGCUGUAAGAUUUUUACUGAUGUCAGUGAGCUAAACAUCUACUCUCUCGGAAACCUUUUAAUGUAAGCGUAUUAAAUAUGCAUAAAAAAUCGUUACACUGCCCCCAAUUCGAAACAAAUGUUCAUUUCGAGAAGCGACAAGCAAACAGCAUGUGUCAUAUGAUCUCAGAAAUAAUAUAAAUCUGUCCUUUUUAAUGCCUGAAAGAGAAUUUCUCAAGAAAAGCGUUCAUAUACAGCGUAGAGUGUUCAAAUACAGCGUACAGUGCUGAUUUUUUAUCUCGAGAGAAAGCGAUCAAUAUAAAUAUGG